This 1359-nucleotide ribosomal RNA is filed under the name Triticum aestivum (bread wheat). Its description in RNAcentral is "partial small subunit ribosomal RNA". The record is from RNAcentral. Lineage: Eukaryota; Viridiplantae; Streptophyta; Magnoliopsida; Poales; Poaceae.
AUGACAAGUGUUGGAGCAAGCAUAGCCACCAACCAACACCGUUGCAGUGGGCGCGGCGCUCAACAAGCCUAUGUCCUGUGCUGGGAGUCGCUGAAUGCUGAUUUGCUGAGGCUGAUCGCUGACCGGGUACUCUCUAGCGACCUGCUGCACUACGUCUGGUUCCGUGCAGUGUGCAAGCAGUGGCGUGCCAACACUCUUAGCCCGCGCGGCUGCGGCGUGGUAGACCCGCGCUUUCACCCACGGCAAUGGAUGAUGUUUCCGGAGGGCAACGGGCUUCACCCCGGCCACCCUGCAUUAGGCGGCUACAUCUGCUUCCUCAACAUCUACACCGGCAUCUUCAUCCGCGUGCACCUCCCGUGCUUCGAGGACCACUCCGUGCUUGACUGCCCUGACGGCCUCCUUCUCCUGCAGCGCAAGAAGGAUGCUGUUAUCUGCCUCCUCCACCCCUUCACCGGUGAUGUUGCCGAGUUUCCUCCCCUUGCCUCCCUCUGCUUGUACAUGAGUAAGUUUGGGAUCUUUCUGAAUGGCCCUUAUGAUCUUCGACUACGGAUGGUCCACGCGGCUGUCUCCGUCCAUGUGGGUGGCAGUAUUACCAUCAUGGUCGCGCUCAGCCACGCCGAGCGCAUGGCGUACGUAUCCACCGGUGACAAGCACUGGACUCACACAAGCUGGAUGAUGACUGGCAUGAUGACAGCACUGCCAUUCCGUGGCAGCCUCUACACGGUGAGGAUCUGGAAAAACAAACCCUCACACAUCAUGCGCGUCAAUCCACCAGAUAGCUCCAGUUCCUCCUCGUGGCCGUCUACACCGCCACAAAUGAUCGCCACAUGUCCAGCUAAUCAGAUGGCUAAGGCUUACCUGGUGGAGUGCAAUUCUGAACUUCUUCUGGUCGGCUAUACUGACAGACACUCCCAGCUUGUGGUUAUCCGGCUUGCUGACCUCAUGCUCGGAAUCCCUGCCACACCAUUGACAAGCAUCGGCGACCAUGCCCUCUUCAUUGGCACUUGGAGCAUGGCCGUCAACUCCAGAAACUUACCAUUCGUUCAGGGGAACUCCAUCACCGUCCUCAACCCAACUAACAGCGGCCGACUGUGGCAAUAUGAUCUGGGCAGAGGUACCUGGUCGCCGCUGUGCGAUGGAAACUUCGUCAGUGCCAGCGGCCCCAUACCAAGGCCAUACAGUCUUGUCCACCACAUUGUCAGUUGUUGCCAGCGUCUUUACUGGAUCAGUGGAGACACCUGGACCCGCCACCAUGAUUCUGAACCUCGUUGGCAUAUAGUUGCUUCAGCACAUGAAAGAGUUUGCACAGUCUGCACUGACCAGUUGAAGGCUAUUCAUCUUUCCAAGAUCUACGUUUGA